Pelobates cultripes (western spadefoot toad) is the source of this 274-nucleotide non-coding RNA. The record is from the annotation of a GenBank genome assembly. Lineage: Eukaryota; Metazoa; Chordata; Amphibia; Anura; Pelobatidae.
GGAGUAAAUUGCAGCAAUCGAUAGGCUAGAAAAUGAGAUAGCAGCUACAAGCAAAAAUAUGACUCUCAAUGGUUACUGUCAGCUGUCAAACCAGGAGCCUCUGGAACAAAGACUCCGCAGGUAUAUCCUGGACAAUUGGUUUGAAUUAAAAGCCAUUUUAUUUCGGACGAACCAUCUGCUACGACUGUAGCAGACAUACAGUUUCUUAGUUAAGUAUCCUAUCAUAAUCCGGUGCAUAGACUAACCAUUAAUUAUUGUCAGGAAAUGAAUUGGG